GUCUUCGAGUCGUUGAUUUCACACUGCCGAGAAAAGCCUCUAGAUAGAAAAUAGGUGCCCGUACCGCAAACCGACACAGGUAGUCAAGAUGAGAAUUCUAAGGUGAGCGAGCGAACUCUCGUUAAGGAACUCGGCAAAAUGACCCCGUAACUUCGGGAGAAGGGGUGCUCUUUAGGGUUAACGCCCAGAAGAGCCGCAGUGAAUAGGCCCAAGCGACUGUUUAUCAAAAACACAGGUCUCUGCUAAACCGUAAGGUGAUGUAUAGGGGCUGACGCCUGCCCGGUGCUGGAAGGUUAAGAGGAGUGGUUAGCUUCUGCGAAGCUACGAAUCGAAGCCCCAGUAAACGGCGGCCGUAACUAUAACGGUCCUAAGGUAGCGAAAUUCCUUGUCGGGUAAGUUCCGACCCGCACGAAAGGCGUAACGAUUUGGGCACUGUCUCAACGAGAGACUCGGUGAAAUCAUAGUACCUGUGAAGAUGCAGGUUACCCGCGACAGGACGGAAAGACCCCGUGGAGCUUUACUGUAGCCUGAUAUUGAAAUUCGGCACAGCUUGUAC
Molecule: ribosomal RNA, 556 nt
Filed under: Staphylococcus aureus
Lineage: Bacteria; Bacillati; Bacillota; Bacilli; Caryophanales; Staphylococcaceae
Description: bacterial LSU rRNA
Rfam family: Bacterial large subunit ribosomal RNA
Source: RNAcentral